UAAGGAAUAUUGGUCAAUGGACGCAAGUCUGAACCAGCCAUGCCGCGUGAAGGAUGAAGGUCCUCUGGAUUGUAAACUUCUUUUAUCUGGGACGAAAACGGGAUUUUUAUCUCAAUUGACGGUACCAGAGGAAUAAGCACCGGCUAACUCCGUGCCAGCAGCCGCGGUAAUACGGAGGGUGCGAGCGUUAUCCGGAUUUACUGGGUUUAAAGGGUGCGUAGGUGGGCUUAUAAGUCAGUGGUGAAAUCUCCGAGCUUAACUUGGAAACUGCCGUUGAUACUAUAGGUCUUGAAUUAUCUGGAGGUAAGCGGAAUAUGUCAUGUAGCGGUGAAAUGCUUAGAUAUGACAUAGAACACCAAUUGCGAAGGCAGCUUACUACAUAUAAAUUGACGCUGAGGCACGAAAGCGUGGGGA
RNAcentral lists this ribosomal RNA (414 nucleotides) under uncultured bacterium. Its description in RNAcentral is "bacterial SSU rRNA". It matches the Rfam family "Bacterial small subunit ribosomal RNA", at positions 355 to 767 of the family's 1533-position model. The record is from RNAcentral.